Long non-coding RNA from Neopsephotus bourkii (Bourke's parrot), 814 nucleotides. RefSeq lists it as uncharacterized. Lineage: Eukaryota; Metazoa; Chordata; Aves; Psittaciformes; Psittacidae. The transcript has 3 exons. The record is from RefSeq and is a predicted model, not a curated record.
CGUACCUGAGCCACCUUGUGCCCAGGUAGCCAACAAGGCCAACAGCAUCCUGGCCUGUAUCAGCAAUAGCACAGCCAGUAGGGCCAGGGCAGUGAUCAUCCACCUGUACUGGACACUGGUGAGGCCGCACCUCAAAUCCUGUGUUCAGUUCUGGGCCCCUCAUUACAAGAGAGACACUGAGGUGCUGGAGUGGGUCCAGAGAAGGGCAACAGAGCUGGUGAAGGGUCUGAAGCCCAAUGUGAUGAGGAUCAGCUGAGGGAACUGGGAUUGUUUAGUCUGGAGAAGAGAAGGCUCAGGGGGGACCUUAUCACUCCCUACAACUACCUGAAAGGAGGCUGUAGUGAGGUGAGGAUCAGUAUCUUCUUCCUGACAACAAGCAAUAGGACAAGAGGAAACAGCCUCAAGCUGCACCAGAGGAGGUUUAGGCUGGAUAUGAGGAAAAAUUUCUUCACUGAGAAGGUGCUCAGGCAUUGGAACAGGCUGCUCAGGGCAGUGGUGGAGUCACCGUCCCUGGAAGUGUUCACAAACUGUGCAGAUGAGCUCCUCAGAGAUAUGGUUUAGUGGUGCUCUUGCAGUCCUGGGGUAACAGUUCCACUUGAUCUUACAGAUCUUUUCCAGCCUCGUUGGUUCUAUGAUUCUUUCCUUGUCACCUUUUCCAAGUUCACACUUUCUCUCCUGUAGCACUCUCCAGUUUGUAUCCCCCCCACACCACCUGAUUUUCACUCCUGCCAUACCACUGCUGCCUCAUUUCCUUGACACUGCCAAUCACAUCUUCCUCACCUGCCUCCCUAACUCUUCUUGCUUUUUACUGCCC